RNAcentral lists this ribosomal RNA (387 nucleotides) under uncultured bacterium. RNAcentral describes it as "bacterial SSU rRNA". It matches the Rfam family "Bacterial small subunit ribosomal RNA", at positions 28 to 417 of the family's 1533-position model. The record is from RNAcentral.
GACGAACGCUGGCGGCGUGCUUAACACAUGCAAGUCGAGCGGUAAGGCCCUUUCGGGGGUACACGAGCGGCGAACGGGUGAGUAACACGUGGGUGACCUGCCCUCAGCUCUGGGAUAAGCCUGGGAAACCGGGUCUAAUACUGGAUAUGACUCCAUGACGCAUGUUGUGGGGUGGAAAGCCUUGUGCGGCUGAGGAUGGGCCCGCGGCCUAUCAGCUUGUUGGUGGGGUGANGGCCUACCAAGGCGACGACGGGUAGCCGGCCUGAGAGGGCGACCGGCCACACUGGGACUGAGACACGGCCCAGACUCCUACGGGAGGCAGCAGUGGGGAAUCUUGCGCAAUGGGCAAAGCCUGACGCAGCGACGCCGCGUGAGGGAUGAAGGCCU